CUCCAAGAGACCCACAUUCAAUUAUUGAUUCAUAGGAUCUAAGAGAGACUCAUACUGAUCUGAUCAGACCCGACCGGACCGACACCCUCACUAAGUGAAACCGGACAAUUGUUCCGUACGGCAGUGAGGUUAUAUGGCGGAAAAUCGGUCGAAAGCCAUUGCGAUACAUUGAAGUAUUGAUACAUGGAAUCAGCGUGAACUAUGGAAGUCGUGAACUCCACGUACUCAACAUACCAGAUAGGCUUGUGGCCGGAGUUAUCAGAAGUCAGAGAUAAAAAAUAAAAGCCAAAACAAAACUGGAUGGGAAAGCAGCAGUCGCACAUUGAAAAGAGGACCACCCCAUUUUACCGUAUCUCCAAAGAACUAGAGUUCUCAUCAUUGUUGACACAAUCAUCAUCUCGAAGCUAGCCUUAAAACCUCAAGAAUGAGAUACCUACAACUUCUCCAAAAACAAUCAGCAUUUCCAAAUCUGUAAUGGACUAACUAGCAACCAUCCUUUGAUAAAAUAUCUGUCCUUUCAUUUCGCUCUCUAUAAACAUGACCCAAAGAGCAAGAGGGUGCUUGGUCACCCAGUGACGAAUAUUAUAUAAAAUAUUAUCAAUAUCGAGAUUUUCUUCUCUUCGAUUAACCAUCAUAACUAACUCCUUACUGUCACUUUCAAACCAUCCGUAUCUGCACCCUUGAGCCCAAACAAAUUUUAGUACAUCAAGAAAUUCACAUGCUUAUGCUUGUAUUGGUGAGAACUGACUUCAAUUUUUCAUUUUAACUAAUGUUAUUGUUGGGACUUUUACAAAAGGAUGUUUUACUUGUCUUAAAAACUGGAUUUUCUGCCAUUUAAGAGUAUUGUCAUUUAUUCUAUUUUACCUUUAUCAUUUUAAUUAUUUCAAAGAGAAAAUGUAAGUAGAAAAAUUAAUAAAAAUAAGGAUCGAGUUGUAAUUCCAAUUAGAAUAUCAUAGGGAGUAAAAUUUUAUUCGAUUGGAUAGUUUACAUUAUUGCCAUCACACACGUUCACAGUUCACAAAAACAUAGAACAAUUCUCCAAGAGACCCACCUUCAAUUAUUGAUUCAUACGAUCUAAGAGAGAUUCAUACUGAUCUGAUCAGAUCCGACCGGACCGACACCCUCACUAAGUGAAACCGGACAAUUUUUCCGUACGGCAGUGAGGUUAUACGGCGGAAAAUCGGUCGAAAGCCAUUGCGACACAUUGAAGUAUUGAUACGUGGAAUCAGCGCGAACUUUGGAAGUCGUGAACUCCACGUACUCAACAUACCAGGCGGGCUUGUGGCCGGAGUUAUCAGAGGUCAGAGACAACGAACAUACUGGGCUUGGAAGACACCUCUCCUUACCAC
This 1349-nucleotide long non-coding RNA is filed under the name Eutrema salsugineum. RNAcentral describes it as "long non-coding RNA (ESAL_LNC001433)". Lineage: Eukaryota; Viridiplantae; Streptophyta; Magnoliopsida; Brassicales; Brassicaceae. The record is from RNAcentral.